This is a long non-coding RNA of Serinus canaria (Common canary), 2003 nucleotides long. The record is from Ensembl. NCBI's taxonomy places the organism in Eukaryota, Metazoa, Chordata, Aves, Passeriformes, Fringillidae.
GCGUUCGCGCACAGCCUUCCUGCGCACCGAUUGGCUGCCAGCGUGCAAGAUGGCGGCACAAAAACUUCCGGCCCGGGCGGAAGUGCGGUCCAAGAUGGCGGCGUUCGCNNNNNNNNNNNNNNNNNNNNUGCAGGGCUCCUCUCCGAGCUGGACGGUGAGCACGGGGAGCUGGCUGGAGAGCCCUGGUAUGCCCAGCAAGAGAUUCCCAGUUUCCACACUCCUUGCCCUGCUCUGAUGGUGCCCAGCAGCUCCAUGUCCCUGCCUGGCUCCUGUGGCCCAGCUGUGUUGGGAGAUCCCUUUCAGGGGUUAUCCAGGACUCACAUGGAGGCUGUGACCCGUGGAGCUGCUUUGGGCAGUGAAGUGACCCAGAAUGAACAAAGUGUGGGGCUGGGCUGUGGCUGCACAGGGACAGCUGGGGAGGGCUAAGGUGGUUUGGGAUGUGCAGUGCAGGCUCUGGAUGAGACAUAUCCCCUUCCCCUGGGACCAUCUGCGUGUUGGGCCGGGGGUUAUUUAUUUAAACUUGUCUGAUCAUUAUUUAUACUGUUCAAUUCCUGGUUUGCUGUAAGACAUUAAAGCCUUUUUAUUAUUUUUUCAGUGGCUACUUUCUUACCUCCUGGCAGCAUGAAGUGCCAGAAUGAGCCGCAGAAGUGCCCAGACUGAGGCACAGUCCAUGCCCAGGGGCAGGACGCGGCGGUGUCGGGCGAUGUGCUGCGUGUUUUGGGAAGGAGUUUCGGAAGGGGUGAGAGCCUUUGAGGGGGCUGUGGGUGUCCUGGGUGGGUGUGGGGGUCGCGACAGAGCUGCUUCCGGGCUUGGGGGCGUGUUGAGGGAGAGUUGGGUCUUUCACUGGACACCUGAGGGUCCCUGGGGCUUCGGGGUGGUCCUGGCAGGGAGCUGGUGCGCAGAUGGCUGCUCCAAACUAGCGAGGGUCCCCUUAUGGGGGGCCUCAACCACCGCCCUGACCCCCCGGUCCGAGGGUGCAGGACAGCGGGCUCCAGGUCGCUGAGGUUCCCUGUGCUGGAGGGGAUCCGAGAAAUCGCCACCAGAGCGGAGGGAAGAGACAAAAGUGCCCCGAGUGCAGAGACAGCCCAGGGUGGGAGCAGGGAGCUGGCUUGGGGAGUGAGUGUCGUGGCUUGGUUUGGGGUUAGGGGUGGAAAAAGAUGUUUGUUGGCCUGACUGCGCAGUCCCCCCUCGCCAGGAUGUGUGUGUGCUCUUCCCAGGUAUUGUGCAACCUGGGGUAGCUGUUUUUUUCCUCUUUCUCAUCCUCCCUCCUCCACGGAGCUCUUGUGUUUUCAUCCUGUUGCUGUCAGGGGUGGGGAUGCACAGGGUGAGUCACCCAGGGUUAGCUGUGUUUGUUUUCCUGGGCUGGCAAAGCUGACGCUUCAGAGCCAGGUUUCAUCUCUUCACUGAAGCGAAGGGAUUUUUCCCCGUAUCAUUUUGGCAUGAGACCCUCUGAACUCUCACCCUUUCAGCCACUCAUGCUCCUGUUGUGUGCUCGAGAGCUUCCAAACUCAGCACUGAGGGUGCUGGUGAGACUGUGCAUAAGAGGAGAGCAGAGGGGCAGAGUCCUCCCCAGCCUGUUUGUACACACAGGGUGGGGUUGUUGCUGUCCAAGCCCCCUUUGACAUCGCUUUGCCUCGGCUGGUUUUGUUCUGAUCCCCUCUGACACAACAAAGGGGAUUAUUCUGCCAUGUUCAGCUGUUUGGCCAGAGCCCAGCACGGGGCUGAGUGUCACUGCCCUGCACUCCACACACACAACACAGCCCCCACUGCACUUUUCCCUCUUCCCACACCUCAUCCUGUGCCGUGGAUCCAGUGUCUGGAUUUUCUUUUACAUGAACUGAGGAAGCAAGAAGCGUUGAGGGAGUUGUUGUGUUGAGUCUUGAUCUGGAAGUUUGCUCCCAGGGCCUGGAAACAGCUGAAAGCUGAAUCAGUCCCUGGGAAGUUGUGCAGCCACACAGGGAGAGGCUGCCCCCAUCCUCUUGGAUUCCUGGUGCUGGUGGGUU